CAAGCCAAUCUAAGGUGAAMCCGCGAAUGGCUCAUUAAAUCAGUUAUGGUUCAUUGGACAUUACUACUUUACUUGGAUAACUGUGGUAAUUCUAGAGCUAAUACAUGCUACACGAGUUCCGACCAGUAAUGGAAGGAACGCUUUUAUUAGAUCAAAACCAAUCGGUCGGGUUCGACCCGGCCGUUGAAUUUUGGUGNNMWNUGGAUAACUUUGGGCUGAUCGCACGGUCUCCGCACCGGCCNACGGACCUUUNAAAUGUCUGCCUUAUCAACUGACGAUGGUAGGCUCUGUGCCUACCAUGGUUGUAACGGGUGACGGGGAAUCAGGGUUCGAUUCCGGAGAGGGAGCCUGAGAAACGGCUACCACAUCCAAGGAAGGCAGCAGGCGCGCAAAUUACCCACUCCCGGCACGGGGAGGUAGUGACGAAAAAUAACGAUACGGGACUCAUCCGAGG
Molecule: ribosomal RNA, 454 nt
Filed under: Euaphonus peruvianus
Lineage: Eukaryota; Metazoa; Arthropoda; Insecta; Orthoptera; Gryllidae
Description: SSU rRNA
Rfam family: Eukaryotic small subunit ribosomal RNA
Source: RNAcentral